UACGUAGGGGGCAAGCGUUGUCCGGAAUUAUUGGGCGUAAAGAGCUCGUAGGCGGCUUGUCGCGUCGACCGUGAAAACUUGGGGCUCAACCCCAAGCCUGCGGUCGAUACGGGCAGGCUAGAGUUCGGUAGGGGAGACUGGAAUUCCUGGUGUAGCGGUGAAAUGCGCAGAUAUCAGGAGGAACACCGGUGGCGAAGGCGCUCAUCUGGCCCAAUACUGACGCUGAGGCGCGAAAGCUAGGGGAGCAAACGGG
This 253-nucleotide ribosomal RNA is filed under the name uncultured bacterium. Its description in RNAcentral is "partial 16S ribosomal RNA". It matches the Rfam family "Bacterial small subunit ribosomal RNA", at positions 524 to 776 of the family's 1533-position model. The record is from RNAcentral.